CAGCAGCCGCGGUAAUACAGAGGAUGCAAGCGUUAUCCGGAAUGAUUGGGCGUAAAGCGUCUGUAGGUGGCUUUUCAAGUCCGCCGUCAAAUCCCAGGGCUCAACCCUGGACAGGCGGUGGAAACUACCAAGCUGGAGUACGGUAGGGGCAGAGGGAAUUUCCCGUGUAGCGGUGAAAUGCGUAGAGAUGUGGAGGAACACCAGUGGCGAAGGCGACUCUCUGGUCUGUAACUGACGCUGAGGAGCGAAAGCGUGGGGGGCGAACAGGAUUAGAUACCCGCGUAGUCCCUGUCUCUUAUAA
Molecule: ribosomal RNA, 301 nt
Filed under: uncultured bacterium
Lineage: Bacteria
Description: partial 16S ribosomal RNA
Rfam family: Bacterial small subunit ribosomal RNA
Source: RNAcentral